RNAcentral lists this signal recognition particle RNA (180 nucleotides) under Listeria booriae. RNAcentral describes it as "partial signal recognition particle sRNA large type". It matches the Rfam family "Bacterial large signal recognition particle RNA", at positions 1 to 175 of the family's 256-position model. Rfam says of the family: The signal recognition particle (SRP) is a universally conserved ribonucleoprotein involved in the co-translational targeting of proteins to membranes. The record is from RNAcentral. Lineage: Bacteria; Bacillati; Bacillota; Bacilli; Caryophanales; Listeriaceae.
UCGUGCUAGACGGGGAGGUAGCGGCGCCCUGUAACCCGCAAUCCGCUCUAGCGGGGUUGAAUUCCUCAUUUGAGGCAUCGUAAUUGUUUGGUCUGCCCUCGACAAGUGGUGUUGAAGGUUGGGUCUUGCGCAAUGGGAACCUGUGAACCAUGUCAGGUCCGGAAGGAAGCAGCAUUAAUC